AACCCUAAUGCUGACUAGCUGGAAAGAGUUCAGUUUAGGGUUUAAAACCCUAAUACUGACUAGUUGGAAAGAGUUCAGUUUAGGGUUUAAAACCCUAAUGCUGACUAAAGGAAAAAAGUUAGUUUAGGGUUUAAAACCCUAAUGCUGACUAAAGGGAAAAAGUUCAGUUUAGGGUUUAAAACCCUAAUGCUGACUAAAGGGAAAAAGUUCAAUUCAGGGUUUAAAACCCUAAUGCUGACUAAAGGAAAGAGUUCAGUUUAGGGUUUAAAACCCUAAUGCUGACUAAAGGGAAGAGUUCAAUUUAGGGUUUUAAAAUCCUAAUGCUUACUAAAGGGAAAAAGUUCGAGGAUACUAACUGACACCUCUUUUUUUGAAUUUUCUUGUUUUAGUAAAAGGUAAAAGAGAAUUUCUUGGAAACUUACCUCUCGAGUGGAUUUCUUAUUGCCAAACUUGUUUCU
RNAcentral lists this long non-coding RNA (458 nucleotides) under Nicotiana tabacum (common tobacco). RNAcentral describes it as "long non-coding RNA (NTAB_LNC009436)". Lineage: Eukaryota; Viridiplantae; Streptophyta; Magnoliopsida; Solanales; Solanaceae. The record is from RNAcentral.